GAGCUUGCUCUUCGAUUCAGCGGCGGACGGGUGAGUAAUGCCUAGGAAUCUGCCUGGUAGUGGGGGACAACGUUUCGAAAGGAACGCUAAUACCGCAUACGUCCUACGGGAGAAAGCAGGGGACCUUCGGGCCUUGCGCUAUCAGAUGAGCCUAGGUCGGAUUAGCUAGUUGGUGAGGUAAUGGCUCACCAAGGCGACGAUCCGUAACUGGUCUGAGAGGAUGAUCAGUCACACUGGAACUGAGACACGGUCCAGACUCCUACGGGAGGCAGCAGUGGGGAAUAUUGGACAAUGGGCGAAAGCCUGAUCCAGCCAUGCCGCGUGUGUGAAGAAGGUCUUCGGAUUGUAAAGCACUUUAAGUUGGGAGGAAGGGCAGUAAGAUAAUACCUUGCUGUUUUGACGUUACCGACAGAAUAAGCACCGGCUAACUCUGUGCCAGCAGCCGCGGUAAUACAGAGGGUGCAAGCGUUAAUCGGAAUUACUGGGGCGUAAAGCGCGCGU
This 501-nucleotide ribosomal RNA is filed under the name Pseudomonas putida. RNAcentral's name for it is "bacterial SSU rRNA". It matches the Rfam family "Bacterial small subunit ribosomal RNA", at positions 76 to 572 of the family's 1533-position model. The record is from RNAcentral. Lineage: Bacteria; Pseudomonadati; Pseudomonadota; Gammaproteobacteria; Pseudomonadales; Pseudomonadaceae.